GUGAGGAAUAUUGCGCAAUGGGCGAAAGCCUGACGCAGCGACGCCGCGUGGAGGAUGAAGGUCUUCGGAUUGUAAACUUCUGUUAAGUGGGAAGAAAGGGCUGUUUUUAAUAGAAGCAGUUAAUGACGGUACCAUUAAAGAAAGCACCGGCUAAACUCGUGCCAGCAGCCGCGGUAAUACGAGUGGUGCAAGCGUUAUUCGGAAUAAUUGGGUGUACAGGGUGUGUAGGCGGUAUGUUAAGUCUGUUGUUAAAGACUCCGGCCUAACCGGAGACAGGCAGCGGAAACUGGCGUACUAGAGGGUGGAAGAGAGAAGUGGAAUUCUCGGUGUAGCGGUAAAAUGCGUAGAUAUCGAGAGGAACACCGAUGGCGAAGGCAGCUUCUUGGUCCAUACCUGACGCUGAAACACGAAAGCGUGGGGAGCAAACAGGAUUAGAUACCCGUGUAGUCC
Molecule: ribosomal RNA, 450 nt
Filed under: uncultured bacterium
Lineage: Bacteria
Description: partial 16S ribosomal RNA
Rfam family: Bacterial small subunit ribosomal RNA
Source: RNAcentral